GACGUAGGAUGCAAGCGUUGUCCGGAAUUAUUGGGCGUAAAGGGUUCGUAGGCGGUUUAUCAAGUCUGGUGUCAAAGCCCGAGGCUCAACCUCGGAUCGGCACUGGAUACUGGUAGACUUGAGUGCAGUAGAGGCAAGGGGAAUUCCCAGUGUAGCGGUGAAAUGCGUAGAUAUUGGGAGGAACACCAGUGGCGUAAGCGCCUUGCUGGGCUGUUACUGACGCUGGGGACCGAAAGCCAGGGGAGCAAAUGGG
This 253-nucleotide ribosomal RNA is filed under the name uncultured bacterium. RNAcentral's name for it is "partial 16S ribosomal RNA". It matches the Rfam family "Bacterial small subunit ribosomal RNA", at positions 524 to 776 of the family's 1533-position model. The record is from RNAcentral.